UCCGCUCCUUUGACAAUACUCCUGCCGCAGAAAUGAAGUCUUCCCCAUUAGCAACUCGCAAAGCGCUUCGGUCUCUUGCCCCAGACAGAACAGCGAGCCCAACAAGACCGGCUGAACAGGCGGCUUCCCCUUCCCGAACUCGAAGGAAAGUUUCCCCGUUUUAAAAAAGCGCGAUUCUCGAAUGAAUCCAAAACACCCUCCGGCUCCCGUGUGCUCCCGGCUCAGCGCCUCCAACCUCGAGCACAACCCCCGGGCGCACGCGGUCCGCACGCUCCACCCUCCGCCAGCGGCCGCCUGUCACCCCCGGGGAAGCCGACAGGGGAGUCGCCCUCUCGGGCACCAAGGCGCUCCCCGCCGCCCCGGAGCUCCCCUCUGCGGCCGCGUUCGCCAGACAAAAAGAGACGGGAUUUGGAGAAAGCGUCGCGGGCUCACCUCGGGGCCGCGCUCCACGGCCUCGCCGCCGGUCGCCCAGCCGCCAGCCGCCCCGCCGGGCGCCUCGGAGCAUUGUUUGGAGAUUUUCCCUGAGUGACUCACGCACUGAGAUAGACUGAGUUCGAGAGAGUCCCCGGGCUAAAAACUCUUGUAACAGAGUAUGACCGCCUGCCACCUAGUCCUUCUCGUCGCCUCCUCCAGCGGCCCGAACCUUGACCUGGGUGUUUCCUCAGGGAAUUAGCGAGCGCCAGGGUCACCACCGUAAGCCUGCCUGGUCCACAGGGAUGAGCCCCUGAGCCUCCAGCCAGCUGAGAGGUGCAGGACUGGUUUCCCUUGAGAUUCCUGGGCUUGCCAUGAGAUCUGGCAGUGACAGCAGGACUGAGGGUGAGGAGGGAAGAAACCUGACGCGCAGAGGACCACAGAAUUUGCCAGGGCCUGUCAGCUGAACAGCGGUAAUACUGGGAUCGGAAGCAACAGCCAUCUGGUUCCACGGGUGGACAAUUCCGGUCUUGCCGUGCUGCCCUCUCCAAGUCCUGGCAGUCCAGCCCGAUUUUUCCUUCUUCUCUAAAUGAGAGGAAACCAUGCGAACAAACAGGGAAGGAAACUCUGGCUAGCCUCCAUCAGCAUCCAACCAAACAGAAGGGGCCAGGCCUCUCUUUACCAACACCUAUUUGUGGAGGGAGGGCGCAGGGGGCCGGGGGGGUUGAUAAGCAGGUAGGUACAAAGUGGUCUGUACCAGAGAAAUUAAAAAAUGGCACAAGGACAUGCAUGCGCUUCAGUUACAGUGGGAGAUGGCACAUCCCCGGGGUUUGAGAAGUUCCUUGCUCCCAUGAUUCAGGCUAGAUGCGCCUCUAGUUCUCCCUCUCUAAGGCCUGGCUGGGGACACCCACCUCACAGGAUUGAGCUUAGAGAAAGCAUUCCCGUUCCCCCUUGAUCUUCCUCUCUUUACCUAACGUAUCCCUAACACACAAACAGGCGGAAGAACAUAAGGGUCAGAAGCAAAGGCAACGGUGGGACGAGAUUGGCAGUUCUGUGGCAUGAGACAGCAAUGGAAGGGUUAAUUCAGUCUUUCUGCCAAAUAAUCCGUGUCCCCAAGUGUUUUGCUGCGCUCACACAAAAUAAAUGCAUUAUUCCAUAGUUGCUGACAUAUCACGUGAAUCUUUUCAUGCCAGCGACAUGGCCUUAAAGAUGGCUUCAUCUUGCCUAAUGAAAAGAAUCAAAAAAUACUUCAAAAGACCCACUUAGAGCCUCAUAAAAUACCCGUUCUCUCAUGCAGGGUUCCACCAGUGACUGUUAAGUAUGUUAUCUCCUCGGUAAAGCCGCGGUCAAGGCUCACAAGAUGAGGAGAGAGGACUCAUCACCAGGGCACGUUGCUGGUGUUUUGCUCCAAGAGGAAUUUGCUUUCAAACAGACAUGCAUUCACUCAUCUCUUUUCUUAAAAAAAAAAAAAAAGAAAAGAAAAGAAAACCACAAACACAAAAUCUCUUCCAACUCAGCUGACUGAGUCCAAGUGGGGACGACAGCACCAUUCAGUUGCAUGAUCCCACAGAGCCAGUGUCCAGAAUGAAAAUAAAUGUGACUUUUCA
This is a long non-coding RNA of Mustela lutreola (European mink), 2018 nucleotides long. RefSeq lists it as uncharacterized. The transcript is spliced from 5 exons. NCBI's taxonomy places the organism in Eukaryota, Metazoa, Chordata, Mammalia, Carnivora, Mustelidae. The record is from RefSeq and is a predicted model, not a curated record.